GGGAUGUUAGCUCAGUUGGUAGAGCAACAGACUCUUAAUCUGUGGGUCGCGGGUUCGAUCCCCUCACAUCCCA
RNAcentral lists this transfer RNA (73 nucleotides) under Vagococcus lutrae. RNAcentral's name for it is "tRNA-Lys". It matches the Rfam family "tRNA". From Rfam's summary of the family: Transfer RNA (tRNA) molecules are approximately 80 nucleotides in length. Their secondary structure includes four short double-helical elements and three loops (D, anti-codon, and T loops). Further hydrogen bonds mediate the characteristic L-shaped molecular structure. tRNAs have two regions of fundamental functional importance: the anti-codon, which is responsible for specific mRNA codon recognition, and the 3' end, to which the tRNAs corresponding amino acid is attached (by aminoacyl-tRNA synthetases). tRNAs cope with the degeneracy of the genetic code in two manners: having more than one tRNA (with a specific anti-codon) for a particular amino acid; and 'wobble' base-pairing, i.e. permitting non-standard base-pairing at the 3rd anti-codon position. The record is from RNAcentral. Lineage: Bacteria; Bacillati; Bacillota; Bacilli; Lactobacillales; Enterococcaceae. RNAcentral also lists the same sequence under 2 other names.